UCUGGUGUCCUAGGCGUAGAGGAACCACACCAAUCCAUCCCGAACUUAGUGGUUAAACUCUACUGCGGUGACGAUACUGUAGGGGAGGUCCUACAAAAAAAUAGUUCGACACCAUGA
Non-coding RNA from Capsicum annuum, 117 nucleotides. NCBI's taxonomy places the organism in Eukaryota, Viridiplantae, Streptophyta, Magnoliopsida, Solanales, Solanaceae. The record is from Rfam.